AGAACAAACACAGCCAAUGCUCUCUGCUGGGAAGCAGCAAUGGCUGCUUAGCAAGUUGCCUCCUCUGAACACAUCAUUACUGGGGUGUGACUCAGGAGCUGCUUCACAAAAUGCAGGACUUGCUUCCCAUUUUUGUUCUGAUUGCAUCGGAGCUGUUGGAUUUCUCUGGUGAGUGAUGCGUUCUGUCCUGAUGCCAUUUGCUGUCUUUCCACCUUCUUUCCAGUGCUGGGUGUGAUGCCAUGGGUCUCAGCUGUGUGGUAAGGGGAUGAGUGGGCACAACCUUCUUUGGGAACAGCUGUCUGGCCAGCAUGAAAGCAAACUGAGUUGGUAAUGCUAUUGUGCCUCAAGCAAGUUCCUAGGAGACUGGUCCCCCAAAAAGGUGUGUUUAUGUAUAUGUGGCACUUUCCUUAUCUGAGACUUUGAUUCAUUAAAGAAUUUGAGUUCAUGCGGAUCUAUAGACACUUGUAUUGCUUUGCUGAGUUGGGGCUAAGCUAUGGAAGUUCCAUCUAUUUGGACAAAGUCAUAAUUCAUAAUUUCUAUAGCCUUAACAUCCCAGUCUCCAUCAUCCAUCAGAAUCCAUUUUUUAGCCAUAUCUGCUUUUUGGUUCCCCUUUACUCUGCUCACUAUUCCCAAAGAAGUUCCCUAACUUUUCGCUUCCCUCUCAGCCUGUUGCAAAAUGCUGCUGCAAACUGUUGGAAGUUGAUGGACAAGGAAAUAGACAAAGCUCCAUUUCUGUCUGCUAGGUGCCCCCAGAGCCGAGCACCAUGUCGGGGGAGCCCCAGACCUGAGCUUUCCUGGAGAAACCCAACCAAUAUCUGGGAGCAGUCCGCUGUCCGUCACAGAAGAUGACUUGGGUGAGGCGACCAAUUAUGUUCAGACUCCGGCAGCCGAUCCUACAAAUGAAGUGACAGCAGACUUCAUUCCCAGCCACGCAGAGGUGACUGCAAGAGCAACAGCCACGUUGCCAGUGGAGCUGGUGAGGGACAUGGAGGGGUCUGACCGAAGGGACACGGCAGCAGCUGUAAAGCUUCAGGACAGACAGCCACUUCCUAACGAGCUCUUGAGCAGCACAAGCAGCCCCAUCUCCACACGGGGGUCCCAGGCUGCCACCCACCCACAUCCCUCAGGAAAGGCUGUCACCAUUACCAGCCCGGCCAGCUCUGGUGCCGGCACUCCUCAGCCCAUUCCCAGUGCAGGGGUGCAGCAAGGUGCUCCUGCCUUGUCCACCCCGGGCAUCCAGCAGAGGGAGGCACCAAGUCUUGAAACGUCUCCUCUGACUUCAACAGUACAUUUCCAUCCUCCCAGAAAAGAAACAGCAUCUCCAUUUCCCACCAGAGAGAAGAUGGUGACCACUCCACCGUCAGCACCUCCCACCAGCAAAAGGCUGAGAGAUGUGAGCCCCCAGGCACAGCCCCACAGCAGAGCUGCACAGCCUCGGGGUGUGGGCGCUAAGGUCACCACUUCUGCAUUCCUACCAAAGCCAGCUUCAGGGGGCCCUACUGCAGUUCCUUCCAGAACAACACAGACAACUGCUGGUCAUUUCUCCCCUAUUUUACCUCUGAAGCGAGGGACAGCAGGCAGCGAGGGCAGGAACUCAACAGCAGCCGUCAUAAGUGGGUCUGGACAUGCAGCCCGGCUGUCUGCUCUGCAGGAUGUUCUGCAAGGCCAUGCACACUCCUCCUCCCCGCUGAUGCCUCUGGGAGCCCUGCAUCAUGGUGAUUUACCUCACUCUCCAUCUCAAGAGCCCACUACUGCUGCUGACAGACCACAGCCUCUCCCUUUGCCCCGGACUCUCAGCUGUACCAAACACCACUCCUCCCAAGAAACCCACAGUAGCUCUCAAGGAAGCACAGCCCUGGUUUUGCAAAGAGAUGCUGAUCACCAGAUGACAAGUAAACCUGAAAAAUCCAGAUUCCCUGAGAAGCCACAGGUUUCUGCUAGUGCGUCCUUGGUAAGCCAGUCACAGAUGUCCCCCUUAAACCUUUCCCAAACUACUACAAAGGGAGCUCCAUCUGCACUCUCCUCAGGCACAUCCACCCUGGAGCAUGCAGCCCUUCGAGCUGUGAGUGCUCCCAAUGCUGUCCAUGCAGCACUUCAGCCACUGGGUGUAUCUGCUCCUUCUGCUGGAUCCCAGUUAGCGGGCAUCCCCGCUUCUGCUGAGCAAGGACUUCACGUACCAACUUCACCCACUUCAGCUCAUUCCGGGUCUGUGCACCCACCCUCUGCUCAGGAAAGCCAGCCCAGCACAACUGCACAUCCCAAAGUGGUGGAGGCUGCUGUUUCUGAGGGGAUCCCAGCACACCUGGCACAGCUGCUGGUGCAGCAGUUGGGUUCAUCACACCACACAUCUACCAAACACCUCGGUGCUAUCAGAACCGAUCUGCUUACCAUGUUACCAUCAUUCCCUUAUUUGUCCUUCCUGCUUAGAAAUACUGAUGGCAUGCUAUGCCUGCUUCCCACACAGGAUUCCCCUUUGCCUAUGCAAUUCCCAAAUGUCAGCAUUGGGACUUUGGUUUCUGCUCAGCAAAUCCUCACAGAGUCAAAUUCUUCGUUAUUAGAUCUUGGGGACUUAACAAACCUGAGUCUUUCCAGCUUAAUCCUGGUUAAGCCCAUAUUUAUCCUCUUUCCCACCGACAGACCAGGCUUACAGGGGGGGCCCUCUCCUGAGGGUGAAGGCAAACACAAAAUUCCCUUGUUCACCAACCAGCAAGGUGUGCAAGCAGUUACUGCUGGGCACAGCCGUGCCAUCCCCGUGGUGUCCACACGCGUCCCCCGCACUGCCCCCAGAGCACCUCUCACAGCUGGGAAGUUGCUUUCUUCAUCACUGCCAGCGGUGGGACUGCCCGAUCCGCCACUCCCAGCCCAGCCUCCGUUUCCCAUCGCAGGGGCAGUGGAUCUGGCCGAGCCCAGCAAGGAGGCAGCUCUGCAAGGCGCCGUUCAGGGCUCAGCCCCCGCACCGUCCUCUGCCCGUGCGCAGUGCGCUGAGUGUCUGCGCUCUGCCAGGACCACGAAUUACCCAUCGAGGGUGUCCACAAGCACUGUGCCUUUGCAGUCCACACCGCAAAGCAUCCUCAGCUCCGAGCCGCUCCAAAGGCUGCCAUCACCGGCUGGGGUUGUGCCCGGCACGGUACUGGGGAUGCCCCCAGCGCCUCCCACUGGCAGCGAAAGGAGAGAUUCAGCUGCGGGCAGCGCCGCCUGGCCGGGAGUGGCUCUGCAGCCCAGGGCAGCACCAACCCCACCCUCUUCUAUAAGCCCUGACCUUGCCAAGCACAUGGAGCUCACACCCGCCGUGCCCAAGCCCCCGACGGCGGUGGAGACCCCAGCGCCAACGCCAGUGCUGUCACCAUUUUCAGCAAAGGUUCACGUGAAAACAACGUCUGGGAAGCUGCUGGCUGCAGUUACCCAUCCGAGAAUGUACACCGAGAAUGUACACCCUGCAAGCCUGCGUCCCUCAGUGGCCAUGCGCAUUCCCCCGCCAUCAGCCAUGAAACACGACCGGAGCACCCGAGCACAGGGCAGUGUGGGAGAAGAUGCAAAGCCAACUGAAGUCAGCACGAGUGCGAGGAAAACAGGACCCGCGGGGAGCAGCACUCCUUUGGCAGCCGUGUUUAACACGAGGGCGGAGCAGCGCCCCGCAGCAGUGCAGGGCAGCGAGGCUGCUUUAGCCCCAGUGCAGUCUGCAGAAGCUGUGAUUGAGAGGCACAGCUCCACUGGGCAGCGCCCUGGACCGCCUCCAACAGGAUCGGCUGUGGGGCUGCCCCUGAGCACCGAGGAAGAGGAGGAGGUCGGACCCCGCGAGGUGACCGAAGAAGGAGCUGAAGGCUCAGUGACCGACCUCACACCGCUGGGGUCGCAGCCGGGAGAGCCCCGCCGCCGCAGCGCCGUGCAGCCCGAGGGCGCCGUGCUGAGCGGGUAAUUGGUUGGUGCGGGAGCUGCUGCUGUGCAGAGGGCGGAGGGGUUAACAUCUACAGUGCCCAUGGGCUCAGCAGCACGGGCGUGAUGUACUGCUGGCUUAAGAGCACUCAGUUCAUUCUGCGGUGACCUCAUAAUUUUUUUUUUUUUAAGUAAUCUUUCUACAUCUCAGAUGUUAGCACUGUCCUUCCAGACCCAGCUUUCUUUUGCACAGCAGCCUUUGACUCUCUGCCUCUCCUCCUAAACAGCUCUACAUGCAGCUCUGUGAUGUGGGAGCAUCUGAUGGCACAGUGAGACGCUCCAGCAUCAUGUGGACGUUCCCCACGUGGCUGUGCAGAGGCAGGAGGUGGUUCUGGUCACACCAGGGUCUACUUGCUCUUCAUUUCAUUCAACUUGUUUGCAAACAUCUUGCAGAUCUGUUUGGUUUCACCAAGGAAACCGACCCUAGCACUGAGCAGCUGCACAGCAGGGCUGGGCUCAGCUGGUUUCUUCUUUCCCCUGCAGCGUUGUGGUUGUCAGCGAUGAGCUCUGUGGCUCCGGGAACUACACAGUGCGGAUGACCCUGCGCCCUGUGGCAGACACCAGCCUGGGGCUGCAGGGCUCGCCCCCCACCCAGGACUCCUUCCUGGCUCUCGUGGCCGUGCAGAGCAGCCUCCAGCCCGUGCUGCAGCUCCGCUCCUGCUGUGUGACACCAUCCAGCAGCCUGCAGGGCCCCAGCGCCGUGUGCUGCCCACUGCCCAGGUAUGGCACUGGGAGCUCCAAGUGAGGCUGGGGUGGGGGACACGUUCUGUAAUCAGCACCAUAAGACACAUGGCUGUCCUUCCUUCACACUUUGACCCCUACAGAUAACAUGUCCCGCUUUCUUGUGCAGUAUUAUCAUUGUACAGCAUCCUCCUGCCUUUUCUCCUGGGGGAGCACACAGCCUGGAAGCAGAGCAGCCCAAAGGUGGGGGACCCUGGCUGCAGUGAGAGCUCACCCUUGUGCUGCUGCUGCAUCUGAGUCAGGCAAUGAGAACCACAGCACUGCAGCCCUUUUAGAGGUUUUAACACAAUAGACCUCCAAGAAACAACAGAAGGCAUACAUCCAGGCUGGGACACUGAGAUUUGGGGAUUUUUGUUUGCCUGGGACCUGGCAGACAGCCUAUGCAGAGCAGUGUCUUCCCCUCCCCUGCUCUUACCUGGUAAGUGCUGGAAGCUGAAGCUGUUUUCUGUUUGCCCUUGCCAGGCUGCCAGCUGAAUGCAAACACAUCCAGCUACUGCCGAGCAGUGAGUCCGGAGCUGCCAGCUUCACCAUCCAGCUGUUCCAGAUGCUGAAUCACUCCGUAGCCUAUCUGCACUGUGAGCUCAGUGUCUGUCUGCAGGGCCACACAGGCUGUGAGCAGGACUGCUUUGUUGGUGCGGAGCCGCUCCCCCCGCCAGAGGACAGGAACAGGCAUGGAAACCCACACAACAUGGUCUCAUUCGGCCCAGUUCUGAGAGCAAUGGGCAGCGUAGAGUACAAACCUGCAGAAGGUCCUAAUUCUGCCAUGCUGGUGCCCAUUCUGCUGGGAUCCCUGACUGGCUUUGCUGUCUUGGGCAGUGUUUUCAUCUGCCUUUGGUUGCAUCACAGACAGAAAACCAAAAACCUAAGUUAUCCACAAUUUGGAGAAAUCUGUGGCCUAUGAACUACACAUAACUGCCUGGUCCCGCCUAUCCCGCUCCGCUGCUACAGUAAUCAGAAAAGCAAAUGCUUUUGAAUUGCACACUGUAUUGCUUUUGUAGACCUGUUGGCCCAGGGAGCAAGAUCUCUCUCCUUCCUUUCUUUCCUUCUGCACGCAUGAGCCCACAAACUGCAGAGUAGAGGACUGUAGAAGCAGCCCAUCCAAAGGGGAGAACAGAUCUGCCAGGUAGCUAAAACCUCUAGGUCAGGGUUCAGUGUCUUGCAGAAGCACUAUUAUUCCUUGCACUGCAGUAGUGCUGUGGAAAUUAGCACCACAUCCCAUUUGACAUUGCCUUACCCACAUAGGUAGUCCCAGUGCUAAGCUGUUAAUGCCAUUUAUGCCCUAGACAAGUGUCAUUAAAACCUUCUGGAGAGUUAAGGCACAGAGCAAGCCCAAGUGUGUGUGCAUCGAGGGUGACACAGCUACAAAGGAGCAGUGCCCCAGCCCCAAAGAUUCGCCCUCUUCCCUGCAACGCAUCUGCAAUCACAGCAGGUUCUGUGCAAAGCUGCAGCUCAAGGGGUGCUCAGUGGUUGUUGCUAACACACAUCCAAACCUUCCAGAGCUGCAACAGGGUGCUGGACUGCGAGGAUGUGUCAGCAAUGCAGCUGUGCUUUUGGGAAGAAAUCACUCUGCAGCUGCAUGUGGCCCUGCAGUAGUUCUGUGUGGUGCUGGGGCAGUGCCUGCACUCUGCUGUCUGCAGAACUCAGUUGCAUCCUGCAGGGCCCGGCACUGUGCAGCAUUGAGGCACCUCUUACAAUGGUGGACUUCAGUACCUGCACGCAUUGUAAAGGUGAAAAGCUGUUAAUAAAGAGCGGGCACCUCCAUGCUGUGUGUGA
Molecule: RNA transcript, 6447 nt
Organism: Gallus gallus (chicken)
Lineage: Eukaryota; Metazoa; Chordata; Aves; Galliformes; Phasianidae
Exons: 3
Source: RefSeq, a predicted model, not a curated record